CAAGUCGAGCGAAUGGAUUGAGAGCUUGCUCUCAAGGAAGUUAGCGGCGGACGGGUGAGUAACACGUGGGUAACCUGCCCAUAAGACUGGGAUAACUCCGGGAAACCGGGGCUAAUASSGGAUAAUAUUUUGAACUGCAUGGUUCGAAAUUGAAAGGCGGCUUCGGCUGUCACUUAUGGAUGGACCCGCGUCGCAUUAGCUAGUUGGUGAGGUAACGGCUCACCAAGGCAACGAUGCGUAGCGACCUGAGAGGGUGAUCGGCCACACUGGGACUGAGACACGGCCCAGACUCCUACGGGAGGCAGCAGUAGGGAAUCUUCCGCAAUGGACGAAAGUCUGACGGAGCAACGCCGCGUGAGUGAUGAAGGCUUUCGGGUCGUAAAACUCUGUUGUUAGGGAAGAACAAGUGCUAGUUGAAUAAGCUGGCACCUUGACGGUACCUAACCAGAAAGCCACGGCUAACUACGUGCCAGCAGCCGCGGUAAUACGUAGGUGGCAAGCGUUAUCCGGAAUUAUUGGGCGUAAAGCGCGCGCAGGUGGUUUCUUAAGUCUGAUGUGAAAGCCCACGGCUCAACCGUGGAGGGUCAUUGGAAACUGGGAGACUUGAGUGCAGAAGAGGAAAGUGGAAUUCCAUGUGUAGSGGUGAAAUGCGUAGAGAUAUGGAGGAACACCAGUGGCGA
Molecule: ribosomal RNA, 680 nt
Filed under: Bacillus sp. Ob 20
Lineage: Bacteria; Bacillati; Bacillota; Bacilli; Caryophanales; Bacillaceae
Description: bacterial SSU rRNA
Rfam family: Bacterial small subunit ribosomal RNA
Source: RNAcentral